RNAcentral lists this ribosomal RNA (543 nucleotides) under fungal sp. SNB-GTC2705. RNAcentral's name for it is "LSU rRNA". The stretch from base 204 to 357 matches the Rfam family "5.8S ribosomal RNA". The record is from RNAcentral. Lineage: Eukaryota; Fungi.
UUCCGUAGGGGGAACCUGCGGAGGGAUCAUUGCUGGAACGCGCCUCGGCGCACCCAGAAACCCUUUGUGAACUUAUACCUAUUGUUGCCUCGGCGAAGGCCGGCCUCUUCUGAGGCCCCCCGGAGACGGGGAGCAGCCCGCCGGCGGCCAACCAAACUCUUGUUUCUUAGUGAAUCUCUGAGUAAAAAACAUAAAUGAAUCAAAACUUUCAACAACGGAUCUCUUGGUUCUGGCAUCGAUGAAGAACGCAGCGAAAUGCGAUAAGUAAUGUGAAUUGCAGAAUUCAGUGAAUCAUCGAAUCUUUGAACGCACAUUGCGCCCUCUGGUAUUCCGGAGGGCAUGCCUGUUCGAGCGUCAUUUCAACCCUCAAGCCUGGCUUGGUGUUGGGGCACUGCUUCGAGAGAAGCAGGCCCUGAAAUCUAGUGGCGAGCUCGCUAGGACCCCGAGCGUAGUAGUUAUAUCUCGUUCUGGAAGGCCCUGGCGGUGCCCUGCCGUUAAACCCCCAACUUCUGAAAUUUUGACCUCGGAUCAUGUAGCAUACCC